GAUGAACGCUGGCGGCGUGCCUAAUACAUGCAAGUCGAGCGAACAGACGAGGAGCUUGCUCCUCUGACGUUAGCGGCGGACGGGUGAGUAACACGUGGAUAACCUACCUAUAAGACUGGGAUAACUUCGGGAAACCGGAGCUAAUACCGGAUAAUAUAUUGAACCGCAUGGUUCAAUAGUGAAAGACGGCUUUGCUGUCACUUAUAGAUGGAUCCGCGCCGCAUUAGCUAGUUGGUAAGGUAACGGCUUACCAAGGCAACGAUGCGUAGCCGACCUGAGAGGGUGAUCGGCCACACUGGAACCGAGACACGGUCCAGACUCCUACGGGAGGCAGCAGUAGGGAAUCUUCCGCAAUGGGCGAAAGCCUGACGGAGCAACGCCGCGUGAGUGAUGAAGGUCUUCGGAUCGUAAAACUCUGUUAUUAGGGAAGAACAAAUGUGUAAGUAACUAUGCACGUCUUGACGGUACCUAAUCAGAAAGCCACGGCUAACUACGUG
Molecule: ribosomal RNA, 497 nt
Filed under: uncultured bacterium
Lineage: Bacteria
Description: partial 16S ribosomal RNA
Rfam family: Bacterial small subunit ribosomal RNA
Source: RNAcentral